UGUAAUUUGAGUGACCGAAAUUGGGGAGAGAUGCCAAGACGGUUGCCGCGUAUGUAUUCGAAAAAGAAUUGACCGAGCACGCACGGCACGCACGACACGCACGGCAUUAUAUAUAAGUCCGCUCCCCCCCAGCUUCCCUUCUCCUCCAUAAAUCGCUUCCCAUAUUUUGCAUUCCUCUGUCCUCCGCGGAAACCAUUUCCGUACUUCCAAUUGGAGAAAAUUUUCAGAUUCAGAGGGAAAACGGUUUCCUCCCUCCCAGACACACCAUGAAGAAAUCAGGCAUCAUAGCAGCCUCCGUCGCUGCCGCUUCCGCCACUGCGAUCUCCUCCGCGUCCUCCAAAAUUCACUUUCCUCGAGAGGAUGAGUGUGUGAGGAAAAGCAGCGAGAAUUCUGGAUCACAGGGAUCGUCCUCUCCGGAUAAAUUUGCGCCGAGGUUUGAUGGAUUGAGAUUCAUAGAGACACUGGUCACAGCUCAUAGAUGAGAAUAAUGCUUUUCUUUUCUUUCUUUUUCACCCUUUAUUUUGGGUGCCCAAAAAAUUGAAAAUUCAGAGAGAGACAGAGUCUUGAUUAUUGGUGAUUGUUAUGGUAAUUUACUGUUAGGAAGCUAAUUUUAUUGUCUGUAUCGUUGCUGGGGAAAAAAUGUAAUGAUGAUGACAGAUAUGAAAAUGUUUUUAGUCUAUUCUUGCUGAUGGUUAGAGCUGA
This is a non-coding RNA of Sesamum indicum (sesame), 702 nucleotides long. The record is from RefSeq and is a predicted model, not a curated record. NCBI's taxonomy places the organism in Eukaryota, Viridiplantae, Streptophyta, Magnoliopsida, Lamiales, Pedaliaceae.